CGCAUUAAAGUUGAAAAACAAUUGAUCAACAAUCGAUUGUCUUUGGCUAACAAUCGAUUGUCUUGAAACAGUGUGUUCUGGAAUUUUUCAAAAAAAAGCCAACAAUCGAUCGUCUUUGUCUAACAAUCGAUUGUCUUGAAACAGUGAGGUCUCAAAUUUUUCAAAAAUCACCCACAAUCGAUUGUCUAUAUCUAACAAUCGAUUGUCGUUAGACAGU
RNAcentral lists this long non-coding RNA (217 nucleotides) under Nicotiana benthamiana. Its description in RNAcentral is "long non-coding RNA (NBEN_LNC019218)". Lineage: Eukaryota; Viridiplantae; Streptophyta; Magnoliopsida; Solanales; Solanaceae. The record is from RNAcentral.